RNAcentral lists this ribosomal RNA (400 nucleotides) under uncultured bacterium. Its description in RNAcentral is "bacterial SSU rRNA". It matches the Rfam family "Bacterial small subunit ribosomal RNA", at positions 355 to 770 of the family's 1533-position model. The record is from RNAcentral.
UGGGGAAUAUUGCACAAUGGGGGAAACCCUGAUGCAGCAACGCCGCGUGAAGGAAGAAGGUUUUCGGAUCGUAAACUUCUAUCGAUGGGGAAGAAUAAAUGACGGUACCCAAGUAAGAAGCCCCGGCUAACUACGUGCCAGCAGCCGCGGUAAUACGUAGGGGGCAAGCGUUAAUCGGAAUUACUGGGCGUAAAGGGUGCGCAGGCGGAUGUUUAAGUUAGAAGUGAAAUCCCCGGGCUUAACCUGGGAAUUGCUUUUAAGACUGGGCAUCUAGAGUUUGUCAGAGGGGGGUGGAAUUCCGCGUGUAGCAGUGAAAUGCGUAGAUAUGCGGAGGAACACCAAUGGCGAAGGCAAUCCCCUUGACCUGUACUGACGCUCAUGCACGAAUGCGUGGGGAGCA